Marmota monax (woodchuck) is the source of this 2600-nucleotide long non-coding RNA. RefSeq lists it as uncharacterized. Lineage: Eukaryota; Metazoa; Chordata; Mammalia; Rodentia; Sciuridae. The transcript is spliced from 3 exons. The record is from RefSeq and is a predicted model, not a curated record.
UGCUGCGGGAGAGCGAGAGGCGGGUUGUGGGCUGAAGCCAAAGGCCACGCCCACCAGUUCCCAGCAGGCUCUGCCCCGCCCAUCCCUAGGUUACUCUCCAAUGCCCGCCCCCCGACGUGUCUGAGGCCCCGCCCACAGGCCCCUCCUCCAACACGACCAGAGGCCCCGCCCUAGACCACUCCCAAGACCGCCUCCUAGUGACCAUAGGCCACGCCCCCGCUCCCAGGCUGCAGGGUGGAGGAGCUUCAAGUCCUGCUCCAGUGGAACCGGUUGCUCCCUCCGCUUACCUGUCUUUACCCCCAGCCAAGGUCACCCUCUUCACCAGGAUAAAACCCCCGAGAACCUCAACCUCGGCCCAGCGGACACUCACCCACACCAGCUGCUUCCGGAGCUCAUGGAUGGUUUUCGCGUUGGCGCGGGACUGGGACACGCACACGGUCAGGACCAGGCUUGGGGAGGACAGGGAUGCAAGGUCAGCCACCCUUCCCACCACAGGGGCCUCUCUCCUCAAGGGGAGACAGCAUCUCUCGCCCCCUCCCGGGGGGGGGGGGUUCUGCAGUCCCCUGACACAGGAAGCCGAGCCCAGAGGCUCCUGCUUUACAGGGAGGCACGUGAGGACCCCCAGGCCACCUCUCUUGGGGAACUUGCUUCCCCGGGCAACUCCUGUCUGGUUUCUGGAUCCCAGGAGACUGGCCAGGGGCUGCCAGUCCUAUUCCACCCCCAGGAAAAGGGCACCCUCCCAGGGGUCCUCCACCCUGAGGCACCUGAGCAGGAUGAGGAGGGGGAAGCUGAAGGCAUGGGAACUGAGGUAGUUGAGGGCACGCUGGCCAGGCAGCGGGAGCCACAGGGCCACCACCUCAGGGACCACCUGCCAGGGGGCUGAGUAGUUGGUGAAGAGUCCACAGUCCCGGGAGGAGUGGGUGCUGGAGAAGGAGAGGUGGAGAGACAGUUGUCAGGGCCCCAGGGAGGAGCUGACAGUUGUCAGGGCCCCAGGGAGGAGCUGCCUCUGCCGGCCUCCCAGUCCUCCUCUCACCUGCUGACCACGUAGCCCAGGGGCACUGCGGCCAGGAGCAGGCCCAGCAGCAGCACCAGCUGGAAGAAGAAGGUGGAGCUGGAAGCACGGAAGAGCCGUGGGGAAGGCCUGGAGUUCCUCAGGAGGGUGUACUGGGGGUGAGCAAGGGUGAGCAGGAAUCGUCAGGCAGCGGCCCCCAGUCUGAGGCCCAGGAAGUGAGGGAGGGCGGAAGGCCACAGCCCAGCUCUCCUGCUCCCACCCAACUGGGUGCCCUCACCUUCUUGAUGUAGAAGGUGAGGAACAGGAAGAUGCUGUUGAGCAGGGGGAGCAGAGGGCAGAAGAAGAGGCCCACCCAGGUGACCGUCUGCCCUGCCAGGAUGUCCAGCACAUUCUUGGGCACCAGAAACUCCUCUCGGUCCAGCCAAGUCCAGAACCAGCCUGAGAAUCGCUCUACCAGCAGCCUGGCAGGGGGUGUCCACGUGCCCACCAGGCAAGAGGGGUGUGUGGGCCACAUCAGUCAUGGCCAGGGACCAUUACACCCUCACCCACAUGGAAAUGCCUGGCUGACCUUGGCUGUGUCCACUGGCCAUCCCCAACCAUGCCCACGGUAGCCCCGGGGCAUCCUCCCUGGGGGCCCCCCAUGGCUCACCUCCGAGGCAGGCUGACCAGGAAGGCGAAGGCCACGGUGAGGAGGAAGUUGAAGAUGAUCAGCUUGUACAGCUCCUCGCCCACUGCGUUCUCCCAGCACUGGGUGCAGAGGAGGGGGCGGUCAGCACCCACCACCACCAGGCUUCCCUGCCCCACCCACUCAUUGAGGGGUUCAGGAGCCUUUCCUCCAGUGGGACACAACCUCGGGGUUAGAUUGGAGCUGGGUCCCCCAGCCAGGGGGGCUGCAUGGCCUGAGCGUGUGUGGAACAGGAGCACCCCCUGGGUAUGGGCAGCGGUGUGGCCGCUCUGCUCCCAGCUUCUCACAGAGGUGAGACCUCGGGGGGCCAAGGAGUCUCCAGGGCUCUGUCUGGUUUUGGAGGGGAGCCCUGCUGAGAAGAAUGGGAGGGACAGGCCCCAGGCUGCCGGCUACCUGGUAGUCACAGGCGUUGUAGCCGUAGGCCUCGCAGCUGGUUCUGUUUCCGCCGAUGCACAGGGUGCUCUGGCCCAGGGAGAAGGAGAACAUGCCCAGGCUGGCCAGUUUCAGCACCACGCACCUGUGGGCAGGCAGGCACUGGGUCAGGGGCUGGGCGCCGGGUGGAGUCCAUGAGACACCUUGCCCCCUCUAACUCUAGGGCCCAGCCUCCUUCCAGCUGCUCCGUCCACAGCAGUGUUCCCCAAAGGGUGUUCCCAGAAUCCGAGUCCCCAGAUCAUUCAUGGGGAAGAGGUCUGGGAAACACAACAGAAUCCGCUACCCUACUCCACCUCUCAGCUUAGCAACUCAUGUGGGACAAGCCUGCAGGACACAGACCUUGGGCCUCUCAGAACAGGGAUUGGACUCGGGGUGUCACGCACGCUAGGCAAACGCUUCACCACUGAGCUGCAUCUCCAGCUCCCACGCGCACAUUUCUAACCUACUACAAAAAUAAAGCUUCAAGGCCAA